Aegilops tauschii subsp. strangulata is the source of this 801-nucleotide non-coding RNA. NCBI's taxonomy places the organism in Eukaryota, Viridiplantae, Streptophyta, Magnoliopsida, Poales, Poaceae. The record is from RefSeq and is a predicted model, not a curated record.
CGUCCCCUUCCACUCGCUCUCCUCCAUGAGCCAGAUCCCCACCUCCUCCGGCUCCCCUUCCACUCACUCUCCCAUGAAGGCCGAGAUGGACGUUCGAUGGCCUCGGCUCCCGGAUUCCGCACACCCACUCCGCUCCAUCUGCUCUGAUCUGAUUCGAUCUCGGCUUCCUCCCCAAGCCACGCGACGCGAGACCAGCUCCGGCUCCCGCUCCGGCCAUGGCGGCGACCAUCCAGUCCGUGAAGGCCGCCAGAUCUUCGGCAGCCGCGGCAACCCCACCGUCGAGGUGUCUAUGAAGCUUUGGAGCUGAGGGACGGUGGAUCUGACUAAUUGGGCUAGGGUGUUUCCAAUGUUUACAUUCGUUUGACCGAAUUAUAUACCACCGUAGAAUUCUACACCAUGUGGUGGACUUAAGUAUCUUAGUGACUUCAUUUGAUGUGUGUAUUUCUAUUAAUUUUAAGCUUCUGUUGCUCUGAAAAUGUACCUCACUGACCAUUUGUCUAUUUAUUGUGUACUUCUUGCAUGAGGAUGUGACUAGUGAUGCGACGCGCCAAGCAGCAGUAGGGGAAGGGGGUCUCCUUCUCGAGGAGGCGGAGUAGGGGCGUGCCCAGCUGGCAGCCCUGUCCUGCUCGUGGGGGAGGGGCAGGAGGGGUCUGCUCCCCUGCUUCCAUUGCGACCGUGGCAGGAAUCAAUGAUGCCGACCUCAUCGCUGGGCACUGUGCUUUUGGUGUAUGAUAUGGCUGGGAGAAAACACAUAGUUCCCUACUGAUUUAUUACAUAUCAGCCAGUACUGUACGAAGUAGU